This 497-nucleotide ribosomal RNA is filed under the name uncultured bacterium. RNAcentral's name for it is "partial 16S ribosomal RNA". It matches the Rfam family "Bacterial small subunit ribosomal RNA", at positions 28 to 507 of the family's 1533-position model. The record is from RNAcentral.
GAUGAACGCUGGCGGCGUGCCUAAUACAUGCAAGUCGAGCGAACAGAUGAGGAGCUUGCUCCUCUGACGUUAGCGGCGGACGGGUGAGUAACACGUGGAUAACCUACCUAUAAGACUGGGAUAACUUCGGGAAACCGGAGCUAAUACCGGAUAAUAUAUUGAACCGCAUGGUUCAAUAGUGAAAGACGGUUUUGCUGUCACUUAUAGAUGGAUCCGCGCCGCAUUAGCUAGUUGGUAAGGUAACGGCUUACCAAGGCGACGAUGCGUAGCCGACCUGAGAGGGUGAUCGGCCACAAUGGAACUGAGACACGGUCCAGACUCCUACGGGAGGCAGCAGUAGGGAAUCUUCCGCAAUGGGCGAAAGCCUGACGGAGCAACGCCGCGUGAGUGAUGAAGGUCUUCGGAUCGUAAAACUCUGUUAUUAGGGAAGAACAAAUGUGUAAGUAACUAUGCACGUCUUGACGGUACCUAAUCAGAAAGCCACGGCUAACUACGUG